This 296-nucleotide ribosomal RNA is filed under the name uncultured bacterium 'eubacterium sp.'. Its description in RNAcentral is "partial ribosomal RNA". It matches the Rfam family "Bacterial small subunit ribosomal RNA", at positions 1087 to 1383 of the family's 1533-position model. The record is from RNAcentral.
CCGCAACGAGCGCAACCCCUACUUCUAGUUGCCACCGGGUAAAGCCGAGCACUCUAGAGGAACUGCCUACGCAAGUAGCGAGGAAGGCGGGGAUGACGUCAAGUCCGCAUGGCCCUUACNNCUAGGGCUACACACGUGCUACAAUGGGCGUUACAACGGGUUGCUAAGNNCGAGGCGGAGCUAAUCCCUAAAAGGCGNCCUCAGUUCGGAUUGGAGUCUGCAACUCGACUCCAUGAAGCCGGAAUUGCUAGUAAUCGCGGAUCAGSSCGCCGCGGUGAAUACGUUCCCGGGCCUUG